Non-coding RNA from Myodes glareolus (Bank vole), 1027 nucleotides. The record is from RefSeq and is a predicted model, not a curated record. Lineage: Eukaryota; Metazoa; Chordata; Mammalia; Rodentia; Cricetidae.
CUGCUCGCCCAGGUGGGGGUGGCGCGGCGACUGGCGAGGGUCGUGGCUCGGAAGCGAAGCUCUUGGAGACGCUAGGGCCCACAGGUGCCCCUGCUUACAAGUAACCGCAACCAGGUACUCAACAUUUUUUUUUCCAAGACGGAGUUACUGAAUGAACAGUAAAGGGAGCUCACUGAUUCCGAACUGACAGCGGCAGAACCAGCAUAGGACCAAACUAGGCCCUAUGAAUGAUGGAUGGUGGCAUUUCCCAUCUCAGCAGAUGUGAUGGUGCAGUUACUCCUGGAACAUAUCCCCAGUUUGGCAUGCCAUGCCCCCCCCCCCACAAGCUCCUGGGACAUCAGCGCUGGUACCACAUCUCCAGUGGGCACCUACCCGGGAUAAAUGGUCUGUCCAAUAACUGGGACCCUCUACCUUCCGAUUUCUCAAAAUGUCCCAAUGAAGAGCAUAUCUGCUCUUGUGUCUUGCUCAUUCAUCUUUGUCAUUCAACCUUGCCUCUUAUGUACAACCAGGGCAUGUCUCCGCUUCAUUCUUACCGGCAAUCUCCACUCUUCCCAUGGCUAGCCUCAUUCCUAGGGCUGUGAUAAUAACCCCCCUUUUUUUUCUUCUCCUAGCAACUUGCCUUCUCUGCUUCCUCAAGAAACAGAUUCCUGAGGUCUCCAGGAUGGCAGUUAACUGAAUGCUUCUUCACUCUUACCUCUGGCUGAGCGUGAGUCCACUGACUUCCGCCUCCCCGUCACCAUGUUGUCCUACACCAACAGGAAGUAACAAGACUUGAACCAUCACCUAUUUAUCCAAGAAGGUCGGGAUGCUAUGCUGGAAACUCUAGCCUGGCUCUGCUCCUCCCUCUCCAGACCCUGCCCCCUCAGAAAGACUGCCUAAAUUCCAGCUCCUCCCCUGAAGCUCAAGACCUCACCUACAGGGGAGUUAAGACCUGGUCCUGGGACCUGCACUGUGAUUUCUCCUCUGCUCACUUUCCCGACAGUCACUGGGAUUGCUUUGCUCAGAUUAAACCUGGUCUUUUAACUUG